This is a long non-coding RNA of Astyanax mexicanus (Mexican tetra), 2516 nucleotides long. RefSeq lists it as uncharacterized. The record is from RefSeq and is a predicted model, not a curated record. NCBI's taxonomy places the organism in Eukaryota, Metazoa, Chordata, Actinopteri, Characiformes, Acestrorhamphidae. The transcript is spliced from 6 exons.
UCAAUGGAGUUAGUUUGGCCAGGGAGAGAGGAGUACAAGCUGUGUGGGUCUGUUCCUCCAUGUUUACCCCCUUUGUGUGCGAAGUAUGCGUCCUUGACUUGAACACUGGAGCAGCUCGACAGACCUAACAGCAGAUAGAAAGAUCCAUCUGACUUCAAUCCACCCAGAAGAACAAGAAGCAUUGAGAACGUCUUACACUAUCCAUUUGGCUUUAAUCCAAUCAGAAGAACAAGAAGCGUUGGCUCCUCAUAUCAUCCAUUUGGCUUCAGUCCACCCAGAAGAACAGAAAGCACUGAGAAUUACUCAGACUGUGGAGGAAGAAACAGUGCACAAAGCUCAGUGUCCAGUAUGGAGUCUUUGAAUCGAUAUCUUUGAUGUGAUUCCUUUGGUUUCCUUUGAAGAAAUAGGUUGUCAAGUUGCCUUGGAGAUAUAUUUGGCCAAGAGAGCCUUUCAUACAGUCCAUAAUGGAAUCUAGGACACUGACUGACUUUUAUACAAUUCUCACCUACAAAUCUGUGUGUAAUAUUUGAUAAUGGUCUUUAAAUCAAUAAGCAUACAUGUGCAGUGGCUAAAACAAGAGCAGUUAUCCAAAAUCAAGCUGUUUUUCAUCUUUCUCUGACAUUUCUCUGAAUAAUAUUUGUAUUUCAUUGUGGCGUCAUUAUUGUAAUUCAUUAUUCAAUGGAGCAAUUGGUGCAAAAUGUUUCUGUAAGGUUAUUACAGAUAUGCUCAGACAAUAGUUUAUUACUAUAAGGGCUUCAGGUCAUUGGUUUUUAUUGCCUUUUAUAAUGCAGUUAAAAGUCCUGCUUUUAGUACCCACUCCACUCUAAAAGAUUGAAAAAAGACUGAUGAGGCAAAGAUUCUGUAUUACUGCACUACCUCCUAUCUACGGUUAGGUUACUUUCAUACUUUGUAUAGUUUUUGUAUUUAUAUAUUCUUGUAUGUAUUCUUUGACCACUGUAGUAGGUGAGAUACUUAUCUAAGAUUACAGUAUUUUUUAUUUUUAUUUAUAUCUUAUAAGGUAUAGUCUGUCUGUAUGUCUGUCUAUCUAUCUAUCUGUCUAUCUAUCACAUUACCAUUUACCAAUGUCAUGGAAAAGCUAAAGUUUAAAAAAGGAAAUGAUCUGCUGACAAUUCCAAACACACCAGCUCAUCUGUGAAACACAGUGGAGGUAGUGUCAUGGCUUGGGCUUUGCUGAUGUACAGUGAACUCAGAAGUCUAGAGAAAUACUUUGUCUGUCAAUUUAAAGAAGGAUUUAACCAAGCUUUCUGUGAGAUCCUUCGUCAUGCUGCAAAGUAAAACAACAGGCAAGAAGAAUGCAAAAGUUUAGUGGUCAGUGGGUCUGUAAUUUUUACUCACAAGAAAAAUGUGUGGGUUCAGACAAAAUACUAAAUGUUGAUGAUUUGUCUUACAUUGAUAUUUUAAUGUCAAACCCAAAUGUUUUCAUUCUACAAAUAGAAAUAAAUAGAUUGGCCCCACUGUUCCAAUGCUUCUGGAGGGUAUUGUACAUAAAGGGCUAACUACAGUCACCUUUAAAAGCACUCCACACUCCAAAUAGGAAAGCACCGGCUGAAGCGCUGCUGACAAGAGCUGCCCGUGCUUUAACUCAGCAUGCUUGCUUAAUAUCUGAAAAUACAUCCUGAUCAUUAUCAUUUAAUAUUAAACAUAUAAUACUAAUUUGUUCUUUAAUGUCUCUCACACUCUGAGCCAAAAUAUUGGCAUUUCAUUAUUUAUCCAAACAUUUUUGGACACUGCUUUAUCAGCUAAAGUAUUGGUAUUCCACCAUUUUAGCCAACAUUUUUUGGAUUUUAGCAUUUGACCUAUUUUAUUUUUUCCCUAAGCCAACUUAAAGUUGGUUCACAAGCUUUCCCUUUCUAGUUAUCCUUUGUUAUAUAUUAUUGAUACAUGGCAUCAAUAUUUUAUCCUCUUCAGUAACACAUAUAGCGUGAAGUAUCAUAGAGAGUCGUGGUAUCAUCAUUACUCUUGGCAACAUAUUGUGAUAUGUUGGGCAACAUAAUCUGAUAAUAUCAUAUCAUGAGAUGUGAUUCCUUGCCACGCUGGUUACCUUCUUCUGCUUGCAGAGCUCAUGUCUCUCUAAACCAUCACUGAUUGGUGGAAACUUCACACUAGACCUCGAGCAGUUUGGACUGUGUGUCUCUCCACUCUUCCUCCAGACUCUUCUUCCUUGAUUUACUUUAAAUGAAAUGUAAAAUUUACUGAUGAUCAGUGAUGGUUUGGAGAGACAUGUCAUCUGCUGGUGUUGAUCCACUGUGUUUUAUUAUCAAGUCUAAAGUCAGUGCAGUUUUAUUUUCCCACAAAAUCUUACAGCACUUCAUGCUGAACCUCUGCUGACAACUUUCAUUUCAUUUUCCAGCAGGACUUGAAACAGCUGCCCACACUGCUAAAAGUACCAAUUGGUUGUAUAUAAUAUUCUAAUUUUUUGAGACACUGAUUUUUGGGUUUUUAUUGACUAUAAGCCAUAAUCAUCAACAAUAAAAUAAAUAAACACUUUAAAUAGA